GACGAACGCUGGCGGCGUGCCUAACACAUGCAAGUCGAACGAGAAUCUUUGAACAGAUCUUUUCGGAGUGACGUUUAAAGAGGAAAGUGGCGGACGGGCGAGUAACGCGUGAGUAACCUGCCCAUAAGAGGGGGAUAAUCCAUGGAAACGUGGACUAACACCGCAUACUGUAGUUAAGUUGCAUGACUUGAUUAUGAAAGAUUUAUCGCUUAUGGAUGGACUCGCGUCAGAUUAGAUAGUUGGUGAGGUAACGGCUCACCAAGUCAACGAUCUGUAGCCGAACUGAGAGGUUGAUCGGCCGCAUUGGGACUGAGACACGGCCCAGACUCCUACGGGAGGCAGCAGUGGGGAAUAUUGCGCAAUGGGGGCAACCCUGACGCAGCAACGCCGCGUGCAGGAAGAAGGUCUUCGGAUUGUAAACUGUUGUCGCAAGGGAAGAAGACAGUGACGGUACCUUGUGAGAAAGUCACGGCUAACUACGUGCCAGCAGCCGCGGUAAUACGUAGGUGACAAGCGUUGUCCGGAUUUACUGGGUGUAAAGGGCGCGUAGGCGGACUGUCAAGUCAGUCGUGAAAUACCGGGGCUUAACCCCGGGGCUGCGAUUGAAACUGACAGCCUUGAGUAUCGGAGAGGAAAGCGGAAUUCCUAGUGUAGCGGUGAAAUGCGUAGAUAUUAGGAGGAACACCAGUGGCGAA
RNAcentral lists this ribosomal RNA (695 nucleotides) under uncultured Lachnospiraceae bacterium. Its description in RNAcentral is "bacterial SSU rRNA". It matches the Rfam family "Bacterial small subunit ribosomal RNA", at positions 28 to 719 of the family's 1533-position model. Lineage: Bacteria; Bacillati; Bacillota; Clostridia; Lachnospirales; Lachnospiraceae. The record is from RNAcentral.